This 466-nucleotide ribosomal RNA is filed under the name uncultured bacterium. Its description in RNAcentral is "partial 16S ribosomal RNA". It matches the Rfam family "Bacterial small subunit ribosomal RNA", at positions 28 to 507 of the family's 1533-position model. The record is from RNAcentral.
GACGAACGCUGGCGGCGCGCCUAACACAUGCAAGUCGAACGAGCGAGAGGAGGUUUCCUUUCUCAAGCGAGUGGCGAACGGGUGAGUAACGCGUGAGGAACCUGCCUCAAAGAGGGGGACAACAGUUGGAAACGACUGCUAAUACCGCAUAAGCCCACGACCCGGCAUCGGGUAGAGGGAAAAGGAGCAAUCCGCUUUGAGAUGGCCUCGCGUCCGAUUAGCUAGUUGGUGAGGUAAUGGCCCACCAAGGCGACGAUCGGUAGCCGGACUGAGAGGUUGAACGGCCACGUUGGGACUGAGACACGGCCCAGACUCCUACGGGAGGCAGCAGUGGGGAAUAUUGCACAAUGGGGGAAACCCUGAUGCAGCGACGCCGCGUGGAGGAAGAAGGUCUUCGGAUUGUAAACUCCUGUUGUUGAGGAAGAUAAUGACGGUACUCAACAAGGAAGUGACGGCUAACUACGUG